Molecule: non-coding RNA, 21 nt
Filed under: Rattus norvegicus (Norway rat)
Lineage: Eukaryota; Metazoa; Chordata; Mammalia; Rodentia; Muridae
Source: RNAcentral
AAUUUUGAUUUUCUUCUCUGC